UACGGAGGGGGCAAGCGUUGUUCGGAAUUAUUGGGCGUAAAGGGCGCGUAGGCGGCUAGAUGUGUCAGAGGUGAAAUCCCUCGGCUCAACUGAGGAACUGCCUUUGAAACUGUCUGGCUUGAGGCCGGGAGAGGGUAGCGGAAUUCCCAGUGUAGAGGUGAAAUGCGUAGAUAUUGGGAGGAACACCAGUGGCGAAGGCGGCUACCUGGACCGGUUCUGACGCUGAGGCGCGAAAGCGUGGGUAGCAAACAGG
Molecule: ribosomal RNA, 253 nt
Filed under: uncultured bacterium
Lineage: Bacteria
Description: partial 16S ribosomal RNA
Rfam family: Bacterial small subunit ribosomal RNA
Source: RNAcentral